ACGCUCGACACCUACGGGGGGCAGCAGUCGGGAAUAUUGCGCAAUGGAGGAAACUCUGACGCAGUGACGCCGCGUAUGGGAAGAAGGUUUUCGGAUUGUGAACCAUUUUAGACAAGGAAGAAACAAGACAGUACUUGUAGAAUAAGCUCCGGCUAACUACGUGCCAGCAGCCGCGGUAAUCUGAGCGGGCUGGCAAGGC
RNAcentral lists this ribosomal RNA (199 nucleotides) under uncultured bacterium. RNAcentral's name for it is "partial 16S ribosomal RNA". It matches the Rfam family "Bacterial small subunit ribosomal RNA", at positions 328 to 539 of the family's 1533-position model. The record is from RNAcentral.